RNAcentral lists this ribosomal RNA (1492 nucleotides) under Lactiplantibacillus pentosus. RNAcentral describes it as "bacterial SSU rRNA". It matches the Rfam family "Bacterial small subunit ribosomal RNA". Lineage: Bacteria; Bacillati; Bacillota; Bacilli; Lactobacillales; Lactobacillaceae. The record is from RNAcentral. RNAcentral also lists the same sequence under 1 other name.
GACGAACGCUGGCGGCGUGCCUAAUACAUGCAAGUCGAACGAACUCUGGUAUUGAUUGGUGCUUGCAUCAUGAUUUACAUUUGAGUGAGUGGCGAACUGGUGAGUAACACGUGGGAAACCUGCCCAGAAGCGGGGGAUAACACCUGGAAACAGAUGCUAAUACCGCAUAACAACUUGGACCGCAUGGUCCGAGUUUGAAAGAUGGCUUCGGCUAUCACUUUUGGAUGGUCCCGCGGCGUAUUAGCUAGAUGGUGAGGUAACGGCUCACCAUGGCAAUGAUACGUAGCCGACCUGAGAGGGUAAUCGGCCACAUUGGGACUGAGACACGGCCCAAACUCCUACGGGAGGCAGCAGUAGGGAAUCUUCCACAAUGGACGAAAGUCUGAUGGAGCAACGCCGCGUGAGUGAAGAAGGGUUUCGGCUCGUAAAACUCUGUUGUUAAAGAAGAACAUAUCUGAGAGUAACUGUUCAGGUAUUGACGGUAUUUAACCAGAAAGCCACGGCUAACUACGUGCCAGCAGCCGCGGUAAUACGUAGGUGGCAAGCGUUGUCCGGAUUUAUUGGGCGUAAAGCGAGCGCAGGCGGUUUUUUAAGUCUGAUGUGAAAGCCUUCGGCUCAACCGAAGAAGUGCAUCGGAAACUGGGAAACUUGAGUGCAGAAGAGGACAGUGGAACUCCAUGUGUAGCGGUGAAAUGCGUAGAUAUAUGGAAGAACACCAGUGGCGAAGGCGGCUGUCUGGUCUGUAACUGACGCUGAGGCUCGAAAGUAUGGGUAGCAAACAGGAUUAGAUACCCUGGUAGUCCAUACCGUAAACGAUGAAUGCUAAGUGUUGGAGGGUUUCCGCCCUUCAGUGCUGCAGCUAACGCAUUAAGCAUUCCGCCUGGGGAGUACGGCCGCAAGGCUGAAACUCAAAGGAAUUGACGGGGGCCCGCACAAGCGGUGGAGCAUGUGGUUUAAUUCGAAGCUACGCGAAGAACCUUACCAGGUCUUGACAUACUAUGCAAAUCUAAGAGAUUAGACGUUCCCUUCGGGGACAUGGAUACAGGUGGUGCAUGGUUGUCGUCAGCUCGUGUCGUGAGAUGUUGGGUUAAGUCCCGCAACGAGCGCAACCCUUAUUAUCAGUUGCCAGCAUUAAGUUGGGCACUCUGGUGAGACUGCCGGUGACAAACCGGAGGAAGGUGGGGAUGACGUCAAAUCAUCAUGCCCCUUAUGACCUGGGCUACACACGUGCUACAAUGGAUGGUACAACGAGUUGCGAACUCGCGAGAGUAAGCUAAUCUCUUAAAGCCAUUCUCAGUUCGGAUUGUAGGCUGCAACUCGCCUACAUGAAGUCGGAAUCGCUAGUAAUCGCGGAUCAGCAUGCCGCGGUGAAUACGUUCCCGGGCCUUGUACACACCGCCCGUCACACCAUGAGAGUUUGUAACACCCAAAGUCGGUGGGGUAACCUUUUAGGAACCAGCCGCCUAAGGUGGGACAGAUGAUUAGGGUGAAG